GUCUGGGAACUGCCUGAUGGAGGGGGAUACUACUGGAAACGGACUAUACCGCAUAACGUCGCAAGACCAAAGAGGGGGACCUUCGGGCCUCUUGCCAUCGGAUGUGCCCAGAUGGGAUUAGCUAGUAGGUGGGGUAACGGCUCACCUAGGCGACGAUCCCUAGCUGGUCUGAGAGGAUGACCAGCCACACUGGAACUGAGACACGGUCCAGACUCCUACGGGAGGCAGCAGUGGGGAAUAUUGCACAAUGGGCGCAAGCCUGAUGCAGCCAUGCCGCGUGUAUGAAGAAGGCCUUCGGGUUGUAAAGUACUUUCAGCGGGGAGGAAGGGAGUAAAGUUAAUACCUUUGCUCAUUGACGUUACCCGCAGAAGAAGCACCGGCUAACUCCGUGCCAGCAGCCGCGGUAAUACGGAGGGUGCAAGCGUUAAUCGGAAUUACUGGGCGUAAAGCGCACGCAUGGCGG
RNAcentral lists this ribosomal RNA (463 nucleotides) under Escherichia coli. RNAcentral describes it as "bacterial SSU rRNA". It matches the Rfam family "Bacterial small subunit ribosomal RNA", at positions 115 to 579 of the family's 1533-position model. Lineage: Bacteria; Pseudomonadati; Pseudomonadota; Gammaproteobacteria; Enterobacterales; Enterobacteriaceae. The record is from RNAcentral.